This is a long non-coding RNA of Nematostella vectensis (starlet sea anemone), 538 nucleotides long. RefSeq lists it as uncharacterized. The transcript has 2 exons. The record is from RefSeq and is a predicted model, not a curated record. NCBI's taxonomy places the organism in Eukaryota, Metazoa, Cnidaria, Anthozoa, Actiniaria, Edwardsiidae.
UACAUCACUAAUCAUCCCUUUGUCAUAUGUGUAAGUACAACACCAAUCAUCCCUUUGUGAUAUGUGUGAGUACAACACCAACCAUCCCUUUGUCAUAUGUACUGAUGACAAAGGGGUGUUCCGUACAAGCUUGUCUAAAGAGUAUGCCAUCAUGGCCAGCACUUUAAAGCUGACCAAAAGUCAAGUUUGGGACAAAUCUUACAAAGCCAUCGAUCAUGUGUUUGCUGAUGAUCAGCUCAAAGAUGAUCUGCGCGAAGUGUUUGACAACGAAAAGCUUGCAUGUUUUAGCUGAGGGUUUCCUUGAAACUAGACUAAUGAAAAUGACGCAUUUCCUCGUUCCAAAGAUUUUGUCAAUAUUCAUACAGUAUAUUAAAAAAGGUUUUAUCUAAGAAACACCACAUAGGGUGCUUUUCUAUAACCCUUUAAACAAAGUGUAAUGGUCAAAGAUUUAUAACCAAGGGAGUUCAAAAGCGAAUUUUACCCUAAUAAAGUGAAAUAUGCUAUGAUAAAAAUAAAUUGCGCAUUAUUUGAGCUUAAA